Long non-coding RNA from Arabidopsis thaliana (thale cress), 326 nucleotides. RefSeq annotates it as other RNA. The record is from RefSeq. NCBI's taxonomy places the organism in Eukaryota, Viridiplantae, Streptophyta, Magnoliopsida, Brassicales, Brassicaceae. The transcript has a single exon.
GCAUCUCUCUAUCGUCUUUCUUUUAAUUUAUAGAUAUAUAGCUUAGUUUACUUUCAAAAAUUUCUAGUCCCCAUAUUUUUGAGGAAAAAUACAGAUGUACUAUGUUGUUCCAGAUAUAUGUCUCAAACUCCCAAUGUAUUUGAUACGUUCUUUGAAGCCAUUGAAGGAACAUUGAUGCUUAUAAAUGUGGUAAAAAAAAUAAUUGAAUGUGGUCCGGGCUAAAGAAGACAAAAACAAAGACAAAACACAUAAGUUUGGUGAACCACUAGCUACUGCCAUUCUUAAUUUGGCUAAUACUAAAAAUACCAAGAUGUUGCGCAGGGGGU